GCCUCAUGGACCCAGGGCCUUUCAGCAGGGGAGUAGGCAGAGAUAGGAGGGAGGCAGUGCUGAGGGGCAGCCAGAACCUGUAGCUUACCAGGCACAUCCCAGGACAUGUGUGUGAGGCAGGGUCCUGCUUUCAACUCUCCCCCAGUGAACUGAAGUCAAUGUCGUGAUGACGGUGGAGAAGCAGAGGCCCACACACAAAGAGGAAGGAGCUUUUGGACACAGUUAUACAGCAGAAUGCAGCAGGACUGGGACUCAGAUGCCAAAACCAUUCCAAAUAUGUCACAUCCAGUUAGUAGUUGA
This is a non-coding RNA of Macaca mulatta (Rhesus monkey), 300 nucleotides long. NCBI's taxonomy places the organism in Eukaryota, Metazoa, Chordata, Mammalia, Primates, Cercopithecidae. The record is from RefSeq and is a predicted model, not a curated record.